AGGAGAACUGUGAGGAGCCAACCCUAGUAUGAGAGGAUUGGGUUAGGCCAACUUAUGGUGUACUGAUUGUUUUGCUAAUAGCAGCCCUAGUCAGCUAAGUUGGUAUGGAGGAACCGCUGUGUUGCGGGAAAUCCUUCUUUAUACAAGUUCUCAGAUAGGGCUUUUAAACAUCACUUCGAUAGGCGAGAGGUGUAAGCACCACAUAGUGUUUAGUGAUCUCAUACUAAACGAAAGG
RNAcentral lists this non-coding RNA (235 nucleotides) under Cucumis melo (muskmelon). RNAcentral's name for it is "Bacterial large subunit ribosomal RNA". It matches the Rfam family "Bacterial large subunit ribosomal RNA", at positions 2655 to 2912 of the family's 2925-position model. Lineage: Eukaryota; Viridiplantae; Streptophyta; Magnoliopsida; Cucurbitales; Cucurbitaceae. The record is from Rfam by way of RNAcentral. RNAcentral also lists the same sequence under 1 other name.